CAUUCUGUGCUACACAGCAAGAGAGCAGUAAGUUAUCAGACAUAGGGACUGAAGGGGAAGAUGAAGAUAGCCUUCUCAUUCCAUAAGAAGUGGGAAGUGAAGCAGCAAAGAAGACAGGAGGACUGAUUCAGGAAGAUAACACAGCAGCUUACAACAUGGAGGACAAGAGAGAUCCUUAAAGGUAAGAAGCAGUUCUUGCAUGACCGGUGGCUAUCACCAUACAUCCGCUACCACACAGGUCUGGACCUUUUUGAGAGAAACACUGUAAAGUACAGCGGGUGGCUGGAUAUAAUCUAGACUUGGCCCCAUAUUCUGGGAAUCCAAAUUAUUGCGCUUGCCUGUCCCUGGAAGCAAUGAAGAACUCCUCUUGGCCCAUGAACUGCCUCGUAUUGCACCAGAUUAAAAGCAUGAAACAGCAUGGAGAAACACAGGAAAGCUUGUCUCUGCAGUCAGGCAAAGAUGAGGACAUGAAGAUGUAUAACUGUCCCAGGUGUGAGAAUAGUACAGUUUACCCCCUCAGGAUUUGUAACAGGUUUGCCUGAAGGAGAAUGAAGUAGGGUAAGAUUAGAGAAAGAACCUUGGCAUUUCUUCAUUGUGCAUUUUCAGCGUGGUAGU
Molecule: long non-coding RNA, 615 nt
Filed under: Anser brachyrhynchus (Pink-footed goose)
Lineage: Eukaryota; Metazoa; Chordata; Aves; Anseriformes; Anatidae
Description: lncRNA (ENSABRG00000000966.1)
Source: RNAcentral